CUCACCAAGUGGCUUUUGUACAAAGAUCUCAUAAGGCAAAGAACUGCAAAGAAUACCCAUUUUCAUUUUAGGCAGAUAACAGCUAAAUCAGAAAGAAGAGGCCAGAAUAGAGUUUAAAUUGUUGACACCAACGAUGAACAUUGAGUGGAAGUCCUUGGGAAAAGUGAAAAAUAAGGCUGUUGUAUGAGAGACUCAUUGGCCUAUUUUCUGAAGUGUUGAAGCCUCAUCCUUCUCAGGAAGAGCAUCCAGAUCCUCAGGAGAAAUUGCAGGCCAAGGAGGUUUCUCUUGGCACUGAUCUGGACCUCCUUAGGUAUAAAUUAUGCAGUUUUCCUGCUACAAAUGGAGAAGAAUACAUGAAUCCUGGCCCUUGUCCUGGGAAAGAGAGUCUCUAAAGAUGGUCCACUCUGCUCCAUUCUGCUCUGUAUGUAUAUGCAGCUCCUCUCAUAAUGGAAACUACACUGCAUCUGUAACUACUUUGACUGAGAAGAUGUGGAAAAGUGACCUUCUGGGACUUCUGAGCAAGUUCUCCUGGCUGUUGUGAACGCCGUGGUGCACAGAGAAUGAUGGAUGGAAGUGAUGGAGUCACUAAUAAGCCCUUGGACCCCCAUGGCCUGCUGCACACACAGAGAAUAGAGGUUUGAUUCUCUUUUUUGGUUUCUGGCCACCACCAUCCUGGCAGGAAGUGAAAAGGGGCUAGUUUUAUAAUGUAAUUUGUUCCACAAAUAAAGAAAGUACAAGAGACUUCAGAUCUAUGAAUUCAGAAUUUCUCAAAUGAAAAUGAAAUGCUACUAACUGAUGAUGUCCUUAAGGUGAAGCAGAUCUAGCUGAUUUGCAUAGAACAACAACAAAAAGAUUGCAGAUCCUACUUUCUUAUAUGGGCUCCAUCAUCACAGGUGAGUGGUUUAUUAUAAAAAAAAUCUACAUAAUAGUUGCUUUAAUUUUGUGCUCCUUUGUUAUAGAAUUAGGACUGUAUGUCCAUAGAUAAGACUUUGAAUAAAUUGAAAAGCAGAGGCUAAGCAUGUACUGGUAUUGGAUGUUUUAAGUGGUUUUUCCUGACUUGGGAAUUGACAAGCUGCUAUUUUCAUCCAAUUUCUUCCUCAGACAUGACAUUGCUUUGAUAUCUAGAGAUAGCUGACCUCCACUCCAUGAAUUCAUGUUUCUUCUUUGCAGAGUUGAGAGGGGCUGUAAAAGGUUUCAGUACUCUAAAAAGCACUGACAAUAUAGUAUUUCCUUUUUGUUUUGGAAACAUUGAGUCUAUAAAGUGAUAUAGCACUUUAUUUUACUGAUCCUUUGUGCUUAAAAUGCAUUCAUUUUUUUAAAAACACUGUUAAAAUGAAUGCUACUUGUGGAAAUGAAAGUGAGAGAAACAAUGGAAGUAACUGUAAGCGCAACAAGUCACAUAGGACUGAAAAGUGAUUUGAGUACAGCUUGUUGAAGCCUCAGAGGAAUUAAAUUGCAUAUAUUUUAAACAUAAUGUCAACCCACAAUUUAACGCAUCUUUAAAUUAUUCCUCCCUGCCUCAGCUAAAUGUGAAACCUUCCUCCUCUGAACUCAAAGACCAAAAAUCUACUAACUUUAAUUUGGGCAUCAGAUUUGCUAUAUGUAUCUCUGUCAUAUUACAGUUCAAACCAUAUGUAAGUGUGAGUUUGACCUUUCAGGUGCGUGGUUUUAUCUACUCCACAGAUAAAUUCCUUGAAUAUGGGGCAAUUUCUUUAACAAUCUCAUAUGCUGCAGAGUACUAGGCAAAGUAGAGAAUGAACUAGGUGCUAAAUAUUUCAUUAGGUAAAUAAUGCUUCAACUUUUUCAGCAGGAGGACUAUGAUGAGGAAAUUAGUGAUAGGCAUAUGCAAUGAGUAUGUGGAGGUGUUUUUCUCCAGGUGUUCCUGGCAGAGAAUCACCUGGAUUUAGCAAAUAAUGAUCAUACUGGGAUGAGGGGUGGGAAUCAUAGGACAUGGUACCUAUUAUUGGAAACUGACCCAUCAUAUCAUAGAGGAGGGUUUGGGGGGAGGGAAUAAAUGAUUUUUACUGCAAAGAAAGGUGAGGAGACUCAUUAGUGGCAAAACAAAGCCAUAAGCCAGACACCUCCAGAGGCACCAGAAGUUCAGAGCAAUGAAAAAGAUUCUGGAGAGGUUAGUGCCAUCUGUAAGUUUACGUGUUGAUAGCUUAGGGGGGAAACAAUGACAAUUAUUCAGAAAUACUGAUGAGAAAGUUCAUAAUUAAGCAAAACAAGAUUUAAACAGAAUGUAAAUAGUUGGAGGUAUUGUUCUCUGUUUUGUUUUUUCCUGAUUUUCUUGUGAUCUACCAUUUAGCAUCAUCCAGGAAGAGUGUAAGAUCCAGGGCCUGAUGAUACAGUUUCUGAUACACAACCUGCCCAGUGAUUUUGUCUGCAUAUUUCCCUUCCUCUGUGAAUGGGGUUGGCAACUACACCCACCAAGAAGUGACAGCAGUCGAUAGCUAGAAUAUUAAAGUCUGAUGUGUGUGACUAGGGUUCAAUGAAAAUACAUCAGGAAAGAUGAAACUCUUCCAAUUCAGUUGCACAUAUUGCUCUGCAAUUUUCAAAACCAAAAUACCCUGAGUCUCUAUUGAAACACAUUGCAGUGUCCCAUCACCCGUGGCUUUCAGAAUGUGAUCUGACAUUGUUUUCUCCAUUUCCCAUUUUCUCAGUUAAAUGGGAAGCAUAUUUGUAAAUGAUAUUUAUUUUGCUGUGAGUAAGGUUUGGAUUCCUUUCUCCUUCAUAGAUGUGUGCUUUACCUCUGCCCUCUCUUAAUGUAUUUCUAUGAAGUACAUAAAAAUGGGGCUCCAAAUCCAGACAAGCAUCUUCCUAGUUAUCAUGAUGAAGACAGGGAUGGGAAAUGUAUGUUGCUAAAAUGACUUUUAACCAUUUUUUACAUAAUUAUCUCUAUUUAUCCAUAUAGAAUUUUCUACCUCCCCUCUCAUUCUAAUUCUGUUGGAUGAUAAGGAUCUUGUUGCGUGUAGGAGAAGGAUACUUGAUGAAGGAAGCAGAUAGUUCUACCUUUUCCUACAUCUUUUCCAUAGUUCUAGCACUUUCUCUUUACAUUUCUCCCCUCUAUAGUCCUGAAAAUGAGAUCUUUGGGCAGCAUGAGGUGGAAGACUCCUUAUGUGGUGGUAGGUGGAGCCUAGUCAACAUUGAAUGAUGCAUAAAGCAUUGACUUUGAAUAAUGUGUGCAACUUGACAUCUGUGUGCUUUGGGGUCAAUAACCUACAUUUUCUGAGCCUCAAUUACCAUCCUUAAAAUAAGAAUAUUAUAGAAUAUGAUAAUUCAAAGCAAUUAAAGGAAAUAAUCCAUGCAGAGCACCCAUUUCUAAGAAAAGUAAGAAACAGAUGUGGGGGGUCACUUAACUCAUCUGUCAUCUACAUUCCUUCAUAAUAAAAUUAAGAUAUUCAAAUAAUUAAUGCUGUACACUUUACUGGGCCUGGGCCUAAACAUUUGCUUCAUGGAGUAUUCAUUUCAAUCCUAGGAAGUUAUAUCAUGAAUGUUUCUGACAGAUUAGGAAACUGAAGCUUACCAAAAUAAAUUAGGUGCCCUAAAUUAGGCUGAAACUAUUUGAUUUCAGAGGGCUGCUCUCACUUGCAAGUUUUAUAGACAUAGCUAUCCUACCUAAUAGACAAUAAGACGUGUACUUUGGUGAAGCCUCUUAAGGAUGAGGGAGACAGAAUCAUGCCAUAUAAACAAUGACAUACUUUAAAAAUAUUGGCAAAUUUAUCUCAAAAUUAUGUAAAACCAUCUUAUGCAAAAGUGAGAGUUUACCUUCCAUGAAAAUAAGAAUAUUUGGAAGACCAUCUUAAUUGAUAACUGUUAUGAAUUGAAACUUUUUUCAAGAAUGCAUUUUGUUUUUUGCAUCUGUUUUUUUUCAUAAAUUAUAUAAUAGCAUAUACCAAAGUUCUUUGAAAAGUAUAAAGGCUGCAGAGUUUCCAUUGUUGCUAAAUGAUAAUGAGCCCAAUGAAAAUCCAUGAGGAUGCAGGUUCAAUCCCUGGCCUUGCUCAGUGGGUUAACGAUCUGGUGCUGCUGUAGUGUAGGUUGCAGAUGCAGCUCAAAUCCAGUGUUACUGUGGCUGUGGCAUAGGCCAGCAGCUGUAGCUAUGAUUUGACCCCUAACCUGGGAACUUCCAUAUGUCACUGGUGUGGCCUUAAAAAAAAAAGUAGAAUGCUUAAUGUAUGUAUCAUUUAAAUCAAUGGCCUACUUGCCCGUAGGUAAUUUUGAACCACCUCAGCUCUUCUGUAUUGCCAUUGCUGAAGAAAAAAAAUAUUGUAUCAUUCUUUUCAUAGAUUAUCACAGAAUAUUGUGUAGAGAAUCUGAAAGAGAAUGGAUGUGUGUACAUGUAUAACUGAAUCAAUUUAUUGUACAGCAGAAGA
This is a non-coding RNA of Sus scrofa (pig), 4373 nucleotides long. NCBI's taxonomy places the organism in Eukaryota, Metazoa, Chordata, Mammalia, Artiodactyla, Suidae. The record is from RefSeq and is a predicted model, not a curated record.